Molecule: transfer RNA, 82 nt
Filed under: Hypomontagnella monticulosa
Lineage: Eukaryota; Fungi; Ascomycota; Sordariomycetes; Xylariales; Hypoxylaceae
Description: tRNA-Thr
Rfam family: tRNA
About the family: Transfer RNA (tRNA) molecules are approximately 80 nucleotides in length. Their secondary structure includes four short double-helical elements and three loops (D, anti-codon, and T loops).
Source: RNAcentral
GCCCGACUAGCUCAUCGGUAGAGCGCCUCACUAGUAACUUACUGAUAUGAGGAGGCAACAGGUUCGAUUCCUGUGUUGGGCA